This 604-nucleotide ribosomal RNA is filed under the name uncultured bacterium. Its description in RNAcentral is "bacterial SSU rRNA". It matches the Rfam family "Bacterial small subunit ribosomal RNA", at positions 201 to 816 of the family's 1533-position model. The record is from RNAcentral.
CCAAAGAGCAUAACUGCUCGCUUUGGGAUGAGCCUGCGUCCUAUCAGCUUGUUGGUGAGGUAACGGCUCACCAAGGCGAUGACGGGUAGGGGGUGUGAGAGCACGGUCCCCCACAAGAGCACUGAGACACGGGCUCUACGACUACGGUCGGCAGCAACUAGGAAUCUUGCGCAAUGGGCGAAAGCCUGACGCAGCGACGCCGCGUGGAGGAUGAAGGCCUUCGGGUUGUAAACUUCUUUUAAUGGGGAGAAAGAUCUGAUAGUACCCAUAGAAUAAGCACCUGCAAACUACGUGCCAGCAGCCGCGGUAAAACGUAGGGUGCAAGCGUUAUCCGGAAUUACUGGGUGUAAAGAGUCUCGUAGGCGGUUUUGUAAGUUACUUGUCAAAGACCUCUGCUUAACGGAGGAAAGGCAAGUAAUACUGCAAAACUAGUGUCGGGUCGGGGGUGUUGGAAUUCCCGGUGGAGGGGUGAAAUCCGUUGAGAUCGGGAGGAACACCGAGGGCGAAGGCAAAUACCUAGACCUUGACAGACGCUGAUGAACGAAAGCUAGGGUAGCAAACCGGAUUAGAGACCCGGGUAGUCCUAGCCGUAAACGAUGCCUAC